UACGUAGGGUGCAAGCGUUGUCCGGAAUUAUUGGGCGUAAAGAGCUCGUAGGCGGUUUGUCGCGUCUGCUGUGAAAAUCCAGGGCUUAACCCUGGACCUGCAGUGGGUACGGGCAGACUAGAGUGCGGUAGGGGAGAUCGGAAUUCCUGGUGUAGCGGUGAAAUGCGCAGAUAUCAGGAGGAACACCAAGAGCGAAGGCGGCCAACGUGGCCCGAUACUGACGCUGAGGCGCGAAAGCGUGGGGAGCAAACAGG
RNAcentral lists this ribosomal RNA (254 nucleotides) under uncultured bacterium. RNAcentral's name for it is "partial 16S ribosomal RNA". It matches the Rfam family "Bacterial small subunit ribosomal RNA", at positions 524 to 776 of the family's 1533-position model. The record is from RNAcentral.